This 6860-nucleotide long non-coding RNA is filed under the name Sus scrofa (pig). Its description in RNAcentral is "lncRNA (ENSSSCG00015076811.1)". The record is from RNAcentral. Lineage: Eukaryota; Metazoa; Chordata; Mammalia; Artiodactyla; Suidae.
UUUUUUUUUUUUUGCAUCUUUCAAAAACCACGCAAUGAGCAACAACACAAGAAUAAGAGAGUAGAGAGAACUAUUGAUUACAAUGAAAGGGCAAUUAACUUUAUUUCACCUAUUUCUAAUAUGUCUUUUAGUCUUGAGAUCAUAAAUGAGCUACUCUGGGACAUAAAUUGAACGGCCCCAUUAAAUUCAAAACUAACUUCAAUAUGGUACACCAAUAGGGGACUUUUGUUUCCCCAUUAUCUGUAAAUGGAAAAAUAGAGUGAGAACACAGCGAUUAUUCUGGGUCUCUAAGGAAAUGGGUCACAAAAGAGAGAAAAGGUAGAGGGAAUGAAAUGUACCAAGAUUAAUAGUUUCAAGGUAAGAGUCUCAAAUAUUAGGCUGUAUCAGAAUCACCUGGCAAUCUUAUUAAAUCAGGUUGUAGGAGCACACAUUCCAGAGUUUCUGAUUCCGUACACUGGGGUAAAACUCUAAGCAACACUACUCUAGCCAGUUCCUGGAUGCUGUUGAUGCCAGUGGGGACAGUGUUCCAGGGCUAAGGCUUUCAGAUCACCCCUGCCUAUGUCCAGGGACCAGAGCCUUGACCACUAGAGCAUACUGCCUACCAUACCAAAAUAGUUUUGCUUAAAGCAUUUUUCUAGAAUACCAAAACUAUGUUUAAUUUGAAUGUGUAUAUUUGAGGAAAGUCUUGAACCUGACUCACCAAGAUUGAUACUCCACUUAAAGAAAUGAGAUUUCCAGAAACUUCAGCCUGCACCCAAAAGUAAGCCAAUCACUAACAAUUCGUUCUUUCAGCAAAUGUUGAUUCAGGACUAACCAGGUGACCCAGUAAUUUGUUAAGCACUGGCACCCUGUAUAAAGGAAACAGCUUCUACUUUUUUGGAACCAACACUAAACUCCCCAAAUAAAAGUCACAACGGGGGCUCCACUGUCGCUAUGGUGUUUUCCGGUGACUUAGAAAAAGUUUCCCUACAGCACAUGGAGCACUGCUACACUUUAGCUCCUCCUUCCCCCAGGCUUGGCCCGAUGUCCAGCACAUAACCUGCAUAAAUGGUCACCCUGAGACUUGUUUAAACAAAGCACUUACACUUAAACUUUGUCUUGUUUAUUCCUAUUUAAUUUGCAGUUCUCAAACUCAAUUACGGGUUUUCAAAUCCCCAGCCUGUUUCAAGAUUUUAGAGACUUUUACAAGGUUGGAGAGGAAACUCGGAUACAAAGCUUGGGUGAUCAUACUCCUCUGUCCAAGAGAUAUUCUCAUCAUUACCCCCUAGAGAGAUUCCUAUUUUUAUUCUCCCUCUUCAUCACUAGUUUUCCUCCUUUCCCCUCCCUUUCAGGAAGCUUACUGUGUUUAACACUAAAAUAUGUAGAUAUUAUUUGAAUGCACCUGUACGUCCAUGGAGACGUAAAAAACUAUACAUAACUCUUAAAUACAAUGUAUUUGUAUUAUUUUGAGAUCAAUGUAUCUUUAACUUCCAAAACUUGCAUUAGGCUGUGGGACCUAGCCCCACUUAGGUUUUUCUCUUCAAAAUUAAGUUCUUUUUUUUUUUUUUUUUUUUUUUUUUUUUUGUCUUUGCACCGCACCCAUGACAUAUGGAAGUUCCCAGGCUAGGGGUCGAAUCAGAGCUACACUGCCAGUCUACAUCACAGCCACAGCAAUGCAGGAACUGAGCCAGGUCUGCAACCUACACCACAGCUCACGGCAACACUGGAUCCUUGACCCACUGAAAAAGGUCAGGGAUCAAACCUGAGUCCUCAUGGAUCCUAGUCAGGUUGGUUAACCACUGAGCCAUGACGGGAACUCCCAAAGUUACGUUUUUAAAUUUUAAUCAGACUUAAAUGUACAUUGAGUCCAUUACUUCUAACUGCAGCAAAGUCUUACGUGGCAAACAUCCACACUACUUUCUUUUUCCAUUCCCCAAGCAAUGAACACCGAGGUCACCACCAGUGCUCAGUAAUGUCCAGCAAUGUUAUGGUGAAAAUUAUGAUAUAUCUCUUGGUAGACUAUUUCAGGACAGAAUAAUAAUUACAAAAUGAGAAGUGAUGGUGGGAAGUAAGUGGGGAAGAAAACAAAAAUUCAAAAUUUACACAGAAAAAAAUGUUUCAGUGAUUUUAGAGUGUUACUGGAGCUGCCUUUUUAUGGGAAGUAAAAUAAAAGCAAUAAAAAUGAUUUCUUCAAGAACUGACAUGAAAUGCUUCCUCAUAGAUGUGUUCCUAUAACCACCCAGACCCUGGGGGACUGAGAAAAUAAACUAGAAGUAUUAGAGUUCAGGACAAGUUACUUAACCAGAAGAAAUUAGUUCGUAAAUUUAGAAAAAUUUAGAAAAAUUUGUCAUGUUAACCUGACAAGUGUUAUUUUAGUAUCAGCUGUAUAAGAAAAAAAAGCCACCAUUGUUCUACUUCUUAUAAGGAUACUGACCCCUUAGUUCACAAAGUUCUUAUUCUGGGAUAGUUCAGCAGUGUUAGAAGAAAGAUGGUUUUCAAUACUUGGACAGAGAGACUUUCAGUUGUUGUCGUUACCAGUGGCUCUUAAUGCUGCCUGCAUUUGAAAAUCACCUAUUAAAAAUUCCAUGACCAGGGAUCCAGGCUGGACUACUUAGACUUUCUAAAAGGGAGCCCAAGAGUGGUAUUUUUCAAAACUGUUCAUAUCACCCAAAUGUGCAGAUAAGACUGAUAAAAGUCAAUGAACCAACCACUUUAAGUUAGAGACAGUGGGUCAAUCAGGAUGGCAAUACUAAGUUAACAGAAAACAUUGUUUCAAACUGGCAUAAAUAAUAAUGGAACUGAUCAUCUCACCCAGUCACAAGUUUGCAAUGCAGGCUUCUGCCAAGUAUAUCCAGGUCUCAGCUCUACUUCUCCAAAGUUCUGUGCUUCUGCUCCAACAAAUGCCUUCCUCUGCAGACUGGCAGCAAACUGGUUUGCAGCCACUUCAACACCACGCACCGAAGUACAACCAGCAGCCACUGCUUCCCAGGAAAAAAAAAAAAAAAAAAAAAAAAUCCCAGAAGCCCUCAAUAUAUACCUACUCAUGCCUAAUUGCACAAGCUGACAACGGUAAUUGAAUUAUAAAGACCAGCUGAGGGUGAUGGUUCUCAAGCUUGAGUGUGUGUUACAAUCACCUGGAGAGCCUGUUAACUCACAGAUCACUGGCCUAACCCCCUGGGCUUCUUACCCAGUUCUUCUAGGGUAGGGCCCAUGUAUUUGCAUACUUAAUUCCCAAAGCGAUUUUGCUGCCCUUUGAAAACCGUUUUGAGAACCUGCUGACAAUGUAAGCAGCUUUCCCUAAAACGCGUGGCUCUGUGAAAGAGUAAUCAUCUGUGGUUAUUUAAAUAUGUCCACAAACUCUGUGACACUCCUUUCAAAAGCUGGACUCUAUAAUUUCCCUUCUUUGACUUUGGGCUGGACGUAGUGCCUCACUUCAAACAAACUGAAUAAAAUAGAAGUGACAGUGUAUGACUUCUGGGUCAUAAAACUCACUGUAGCUUCCACCUUGGUCAAGCUCUAGAAUCAUUCACUCUGAAGGAAACAAAUGGCCAUGCUGUAAGGACACUCUAAGGAGAAACCCACAUGGUCAAAAACUGAGGCUCACAAUUCCCAAUAGAUGAAUAUGUGAAUUAGUAUAAACGACAUUAGUAUCUACUUUUCUAAAACUCUCAAUAAACAUAUUGGUUCCAAGAAAAUCAGUAAUAUUGGAAUUUGUUCAAAAUCAGAUCAAAGCAUUUAGACACAUCUUCAAGUAUUCGAAGAUUAAUUACCAUUGCCAUAAAUAGCCACGAAAUGUAAUACUACUAAAAACUUUUGUUCAUAAUAAACCAAUAAGCCACUAGUGCCUGCUGAACAGCCAUGUGAAAAAAAAGGGAACAGAAAUGUGAAAAAUGUUUCACUUUUGUAGUUUAAAAUUCAUUCAAAUAAGACUGAAAUGCAGUGAUUACCAUAACUAUAAGGGAAAAAUAUUUGAAAGUUUAAAAAAAAAAAAAAAGAACUGAGGCUCCAAUAGCAUGUGAGCGAGUCCUCUUGGAAGCAGAUCCCCCAGGUCCAGUUGAGGCAUCAUAGGUCUGCAGCCCUUGCUAUUAUCCUGACUGCAAACUCCUGAGACAUCCUGAGCCAGAACUCCCCAAAUAGGCUGGCCAUGGGAAUAUAAGGUUAUAAGUAUUUAUUCUUUUAAGCCACUAAGUUUAGAGGAUAAUUUAUUAUACAGCAAUAGUCAACUAAAUGCAAUAAGUGAACAAAACUGGAAAGAGGAAAAUGAGAACCAUGUUGAGUAAUCCACAAUGUCUGGUGCAUCUUGCUUCAGUUAAUGAAAGUUCAGUAAUAAAAACACACAGGUGAAGAAACACGGAAAUUCCAAAAUAGAUUUUAAGGAACAGCAGGAACUUAAAGGUUCUUCUAUAUUGAAACAACCUCUAGGAAUCCCAGUAUCAGGAGCUCAGGGAUCUUGAUCGCAGUGCUAUUCAAGGUUAACUCAAGAAAAGCUUGUUCUAUUCUCCUCUUCCUAUAGACAAGCCACCUCAUAUUCUACUCUCUAUCUUUUGUUAUUGUUAAUCUCAUAUUCUCCAUUCCCUCCUUCUGGUUCAUGCUUCCUUCCCCCCAGGGUUUCUGAGACUCUCUUUCUGCUACUCAAAGUGGUCUGUGGCCCAGCAUCAUCAGUUUCACCUGGGAGGUUGUUAGAACUGCAGAACUUUGGGCCCAACUCUAGACCUGCUGUAUCAGAAUCAGCAUUUAAAUUUGAGAAAUGUGGCUCUAUACCAUGACUGUUAGGCUUAAGCUCCCAUCGCUUCUUGCAAUGGUCCCCAUAUUUUGAUUCAUUUUGUAGUUACCUGGGAUGUUUAAAAAUGGCCAGUGCUAGCUCCCACCCUAGACAUUCUGAUUUGAUGUAUAUGAGUCAAGAUAAACCAUUGCAAGUGUUAGAAGCUUCCAGGUGAUUCUAAUGUCCAAUUAAGUUUUGGAACUAUUAGCUUACAACAUUCAUUCCUUGGUAUUUCCCAAUUAACUUUAAAAACAGAGGACACUUGAUUAACCUGUCUUAUUUUUUAAUACCAAGGCAUGUCACGGGCAUUUAACCACUCAAUUUCGGGGGAAAGAGUGAGUAUUGCAGGACUAUAUGACCCAAAACACAACCACUGCUGCACAGAAAUGCUGUGGGGAAUGUAGUUUCCUAUAGUACAAUGUUUCUCAAUCUUAACUACAUAUUAGAAUAACCUGGGGAGUUUACAAAUCUCAAUGCCUAAAUCUCACAGAAGAUUUAAUUUAGAAUCUCUAAUCUUUGGGUUGGACCCAAGCAAUGAUACUGCUAAUCCACCCAGAUUUUUUCAAUUUGUAGCCAAUGUAGAAAAACACUUUAAAAUAGAGGAGUGAGCAGUGGACAUGCCUAUGGUAAUGUAUUCCAAAACAAAUACAAAUCAAAAUUGUAUUAGCUUUAAAAAUCAUGGUUAUUUAUUUUUUACCACAACCUAAAAUUAGUUGAGUAAAUGGAAGCAUCAUGUAAGGAAAAGAAGUAGAUUUUCAAUCAGAUAGAAUCAGGGGCUUAACCCAGUGAAUGAAUGGAUUUAGGCAAGUUUUUAAACUUUAAUAAUCCUCAGUUUCCUCAUCUGUAAAAUAGAUAUAAAGCCGACUAACUCCAAGAGUUCUAAGAAUAAUAAGUUUAUUUAUAAUGUACCUAAAACACCUUAGACAUUGUAAGCGAUGAAAUGCUAUUCACUUUCUCUUCCAUAUAUGGGGGAAUAUUUUCUUUAAAAAGUGUAAUUCUGUGUACUAUUGGAUGUAAACCUCCCACCAAACCCAUGGGGUAGGAGUACUUAUUUUUCUAGUUGACAGAAGAGAAAACUGAAACUCAUCUGUCAACUCAAUCAAAAAAAAAAAAAAAAAGGUUAAAUAAUGAGUAAGAAGCUGAGAUUCAAACACAGGGUACCUAAUAUUGGAAAUUAAGAUAACUCUGGCUCAGGUCGUCAGUGUCAGAAAGUGAGACACAUGGACAAGGAGAAAUCUCCACAAGGCUCUUUACUUCUGCGGAUGGGCACAGGUACUCCAAAAAGCAUGCACGCUAAACAAAGGACACUCCCCUAUUUAUCCCUAAGGCAGGUGAUGUACCUGUCCCCUUCCCGUUGGUCAGGUCAGGGCGCACAUUCUUCCUAGUUGGCUAAUUGAAACGAACUAUUGCUGGGAAAAGAGGUAAAGAGGAAGGGGGUCACAGGGGCAUUUCAGCCAAAACCGAAACCCGAAUCAAAAUGGAGUAACCAAGAUUUCCUUUGAUAGAAAAGACAUUGUUACUUUCCACACUAACCCCAAAGCCCAAAUUCUUAGUACUCCCAUUCUACUGCCUCUCUAAAAUAGCUACCUCCUUGUCAUGAAAGACAAAUAUUGUGUUCAUAUGGGGUGCAAAGAACGCACUGGGAUGGGGGAGAAUAACGGCUUUAGCGACCUGACCUGGUGUGGCACAUGUACAACCAGCAUCCUGUUAAUUGUGCUGCUCUUUCUCUUCCCUCAGGCGAACUGUCAAUUGCAGGCCUUUCAGUCCUGCUUUAGAAGGUCACAACACACUUCUUCAAAGGUGGUACUGUCAGUAUAGUUCUGAAAAAUCACCAGAAUGUGCUUUUUUUUUUAUACACAAUUCUUGCCUACACAAGCAUAAUGUAGUCUGUACUUUUGUAAACUAGAGGGUGGAAGAGAUACAAACCUAUAAAUAACUAUUUCCAAUUAACCUUCUACUCUUCCUGUCUUUCAAUUUGAGCUGAGGUCUCUCUCUCCUUCAGAAGCCAAUUACAACUGUCACUUGAUUUUUUUCAGAUAUAUUUCCUCUCUUGUUUAUACUGUUUCUUCUAUCUUGCUGUAGUUAAUUCCUACAAUCUCCCUUGGUAAAUUCAUUAUCC